AUGCUGCCAUUUCGAUUAAACCUGUUCAGGAUGGCUGGAACAGCUUGGUAUGGGCAGAGAUCUUCAAAAGCACAUCCUCAGCUAGCAAUUGUGAGCAGAGGUCUGCAAGCUUUAAGGAGACAUUUUUCACAAAGCACACUGAAAGAGAUUGCACACCAAAGUAUGGAGCAUCUUCUAGAUCUAGCCCUCAGGAUCACGGCCAAAAUUUUCACAUGAACAUUAAAUGAUAGAAGAAAAUGAGUCUUAAUUUCAUCAGAAGCUGAGACUGCUGGCCUUGUCUGGCAGUGCCUGAAGCAUCCUCAGGUAAGAACUACAGUCAAAACAGUGUGUGAAAGCAGGGAAAAGCCAUCCAUUUUUUAUCGGAGAAGAGUAAAUAAGAGAGAGAUAUCAGACACAGGUUACCAGCAGAGAGUUGGAAACUGAACUAGGAAUUAGUAUAUUCAGUUUCUAAAGCUGUCAAUGCAUGGAGAGGAGGAAGAUGGGGUAAGAAGAACAUGUUUUGUUCUUAUAGAGUAAAAUCCACUUAGCAGCUCUUUUGAGACAGUGAACUUGUCUUUGACAUUUACUAUUUGUGUCAGUGGCUGAGCUGUUGCUCUAUUUGCACUCAUUCUCUGCAAAACACUGCAUUCUUUAGGCAAUUUGAAAAUCUUAAAUCCAUCUUUUCAAAAGAAAGUUUCUAACUAAUGGACAUCUUAUGGAUGAGCAAAACUGCUUCUUGGAGGCUGGAUAGGUAGAAAAGGGUUAUUUGAUUAUACAUAGGCAAAAUGGUCUUUUGCUCCUUCUCCUGCCCUUAUGUUUAGCAGAGGAGGACUUGGGCCACUAAAAACAUCUGAGCCCCCAAAAAUUUAAUUUCAAAUGCAUUGACCUCUACACAGAGGGAGUUUCAGAGACUGAGAAUGCCUACCUAUUGUCUGUUUCUUUUCCAACCUACAUACGUACACACUUUAAAGUCUCCCUUUGCUCUCAAUGGUUACUUGUAAACUGUCUUAGACUUCAUAUUAAGCUUAGGUUUUAGCUGUCUUUUUACUUCCACUCUGGAGGAAAAGCCAGACUCAAACACCAUUGGUAAACAGCUAAAAAGAUAUCAUUAAACUCUGAAUGUCCUCUGUUCUGAAGGCGAAGAUCUGGAAGAGAUUUUCCAAAUUCAGCUUCGGAUCGGAAGAUGGGGAAGGAGGCCCUGGACAAAAGAAGGGGUAGAAGAUUUCCGAGGAAAAUAUCCUUCGUUUGUCACUGUAUCACCUCCCUGCACUGUAUUUUGUUUGAUAUUAGUAAACAUUAUGUAAGUAAACCUCCCUAAAGAUCACAUGGUAGAGAAACAAUUACAGUGCUGUCCCAUAGGAAACUAAUAAAAAACAAAACAAAAACA
Molecule: long non-coding RNA, 1366 nt
Filed under: Anser brachyrhynchus (Pink-footed goose)
Lineage: Eukaryota; Metazoa; Chordata; Aves; Anseriformes; Anatidae
Description: lncRNA (ENSABRG00000006543.1)
Source: RNAcentral